RNAcentral lists this ribosomal RNA (497 nucleotides) under uncultured bacterium. Its description in RNAcentral is "partial 16S ribosomal RNA". It matches the Rfam family "Bacterial small subunit ribosomal RNA", at positions 28 to 507 of the family's 1533-position model. The record is from RNAcentral.
GAUGAACGCUGGCGGCGUGCCUAAUACAUGCAAGUCGAGCGAACGGACGAGGAGCUUGCUCCUCUGACGUUAGCGGCGGACGGGUGAGUAACACGUGGAUAACCUACCUAUAAGACUGGGAUAACUUCGGGAAACCGGAGCUAAUACCGGAUAAUAUAUUGAACCGCAUGGUUCAAUAGUGAAAGACGGUCUUGCUGUCACUUAUAGAUGGAUCCGCGCUGCAUUAGCUAGUUGGUAAGGUAACGGCUUACCAAGGCGACGAUGCGUAGCCGACCUGAGAGGGUGAUCGGCCACACUGGAACUGAGACACGGUCCAGACUCCUACGGGAGGCAGCAGUAGGGAAUCUUCCGCAAUGGGCGAAAGCCUGACGGAGCAACGCCGCGUGAGUGAUGAAGGUCUUCGGAUCGUAAAACUCUGUUAUUAGGGAAGAACAAAUGUGUAAGUAACUGUGCACGUCUUGACGGUACCUAAUCAGAAAGCCACGGCUAACUACGUG